AUUGAACGCUGGCGGCAGGCCUAACACAUGCAAGUCGAACGGUAACAGGAAGCAGCUUGCUGCUUUGCUGACGAGUGGCGGACGGGUGAGUAAUGUCUGGGAAACUGCCUGAUGGAGGGGGAUAACUACUGGAAACGGUAGCUAAUACCGCAUAACGUCGCAAGACCAAAGAGGGGGACCUUCGGGCCUCUUGCCAUCGGAUGUGCCCAGAUGGGAUUAGCUAGGAGGUGGGGUAACGGCUCACCUAGGCGACGAUCCCUAGCUGGUCUGAGAGGAUGACCAGCCACACUGGAACUGAGACACGGUCCAGACUCCUACGGGAGGCAGCAGUGGGGAAUAUUGCACAAUGGGCGCAAGCCUGAUGCAGCCAUGCCGCGUGUAUGAAGAAGGCCUUCGGGUUGUAAAGUACUUUCAGCGGGGAGGAAGGGAGUAAAGUUAAUACCUUGGCUCAUUGACGUUACCCGCAGAAGAAGCACCGGCUAACUCCGUG
Molecule: ribosomal RNA, 490 nt
Filed under: uncultured bacterium
Lineage: Bacteria
Description: partial 16S ribosomal RNA
Rfam family: Bacterial small subunit ribosomal RNA
Source: RNAcentral